This 1501-nucleotide long non-coding RNA is filed under the name Corvus moneduloides (New Caledonian crow). Its description in RNAcentral is "lncRNA (ENSCMUG00000017434.1)". Lineage: Eukaryota; Metazoa; Chordata; Aves; Passeriformes; Corvidae. The record is from RNAcentral.
CUUUCUCCAACACUUCUGUUGAAGUGUUUCCCCACACAAUGAUGUCAUCAAUGUACUGCAGAUGUUCUGGGGCCUCACCCUUUUCCAGUGCAGCCUGGAUCAGUCCAUGGCAGAUGGUGGGACUGUGCUUCCACCCCUGGGGCAGUCGGUUCCAGGUGUACUGCAUGCCCCUCCAGGUGAAGGCAAACUGAGGCCUGCACUCUGCUGCCAGAGGAAUGGAGAAAAAUGCAUUAGCAAUGUCAAUAGUGGCGUACCACUUCGCUGCUUUGGACUCCAGCUCCUACUGUGUAAGAGACGGUCCGAAAAUCCCUCAUCUGCCUCACGAUCAUCGCCGAAGACAGAGACUGAACACAGCAGUCCUGGCCUGGCUGAGGUGGGAUUGUCUGCCAAGUGUUGCCUACGGGUGUGCCCACUGGGAACUGCAACGGACCCCAUAACAAUGGCUGUAGAUUUCCCAACCUCUUGGCCAGUUGCCCCUCGCUUCUGAAAAGGACUAUAAAGGGACCUUCUAAAUAACCAAGUCCGGAGAUCUCCCCACGGAAAGAAGACGAAUCUAUUGGCGGAAGACCACGAGGACUUCGUCUCAUCCGUUGGUAGCUAUUGCCCCUCUUUUUCCCCCUCUCUACUUUGUUUCUCUUUCUCUCUCUCUCUCUUACUCUCUUCUAUUGCAUUACUGUGUUGUGGGCACUUAAUAAAGGUGCACUGUUUUGAUUAAAACUGAAAUCUCUUGUGUCCUUUUACACUCUGAGAUCGAUAAACGAACCAUCACGACCCCCGCUUGCAUUAGCGGAUCGUGACAUACUGGAGCUUCAAUAUGUCCGGCACAGCAGCGCUCAAUGGUGGAGUCACUUCAUUCAAGACACGAUAGUCCACAGUCAAUCUCCAUUCCCCAUCAGACUUGCGCACAGGCCAGAUGGGGCUGUUGAAGGGUGAGUGGGUCUUGCUGACCACCCCUUGGCUCUCCAGCUCGCGGAUCAUCUUGUGGAUGGGGAUCACAGCAUCUCGAGUUGUCCGAUACUGCCGGCGAUGCACUGUCGAGGUGGCAAUUGGCACUCGUUGCUCUUCCACUUUCAGGAGCCCAACUGCAGAAGGAUUCUCUGAUAGUCCGGGCAGGGUGUUCAAUUGCCUAAUGCCCUCUGCCUCCACAGCAGCAAUCCCAAAUGCCCACCUGAGUCCUUUCGGGUCUUUGUAAUAGCCAUUCCGGAGGAAGUCUAUGCCCAGAAUACACGGGGCCUCUGGGCCAGUCACAAUUGGAUGCUUUUGCCACUCCUUCCCAGUCAGGCUCACCUCAGCUUCCAAAAGGGUCAACUGCUGUGAUCCCCCGGUCACCCCAGUGAUGGAUACAGGUUCUGCCCCCACAUGUCCCGAUGGCAUUAAAGUACACUGUGCCCCAGUAUCAACCAACGCAUCAUAUUUUUGUGGCUCUGAUGUGCCAGGCCAUCAAAUCCACACUGUCCAGAAAAUCCGGUUCUCCCGUGCCUCUUCCUGGCUAGAAGCAGGG